GUAGGUGGCAAGCGUUGUCCGGAAUUAUUGGGCGUAAAGCGCGCGCAGGCGGUUCUUUAAGUCUGAUGUGAAAGCCUACGGCUCAACCGUGGAGGGUCAUUGGAAACUGGGGAACUUGAGUACAGAAGAGGAAAGCGGAAUUCCACGUGUAGCGGUGAAAUGCGUAGAGAUGUGGAGGAACACCAGUGGCGAAGGCGGCUUUCUGGUCUGUAACUGACGCUGAGGCGCGAAAGCGUGGGGAGCAAACAGGGAUUAGAUACCCUGGUAGUCCACGCCGUAAACGAUGAGUGCUAAGUGUUAGGGGGUUUCCCGCCCCUUAGUGCUGCAGCUAACGCAUUAAGCACUCCGCCUGGGGAGUACGGCCGCAAGGCUG
RNAcentral lists this ribosomal RNA (373 nucleotides) under uncultured organism. Its description in RNAcentral is "partial 16S ribosomal RNA". It matches the Rfam family "Bacterial small subunit ribosomal RNA", at positions 527 to 896 of the family's 1533-position model. The record is from RNAcentral.